UUCCUGAAGACUGCUUUCUCAAGUGGCUUAGUGUCUCCACUCAGGGGUGGUGGAGCUCUUCUUCUCACUGCUUCUUCUCAUUUUUUUCAUGCUCUGGCCUAAUGUCUUGGUGGUAUUAGCCUAGCACAACUUCAGUUGCACUGCAGGUUCUUCAUAAAAUUGAAACACUGUUUCCAGAUUUGGAUUUUCUUCUGCUCUGCCAUGGGUUGUUCACAUUCUCUCAAGGUUGUUACUACUGUUUUACCUUUUUCUACUUGAUAAUUUUGGAAACCGGUAUGUGUGGGGAGACAAGGAUUGAUGGUGGUCUGGAUGUAAGCACUGAAGAACCACAGUAGUGUGAUGACCUUACAGAUUUGAUUCUAGUGAAGGAAUGGACUUUAAAAUCUUACCACUGUCAUUGGCCUUGAGAAACUUCUAAGUAAGUUAAACAGGCUUGAUGGAGGCCCUACAGUGACUAUUCAUUGGCUGAGCCUUUGGAUUAUCUUGGGAGGACCCUGAAAGAAUGACCUGGCCGGAAGAUUGUCCCAUCCUGCAUGAGGUCAGGAUCACUAACUCAAGUCAGGGAGGAAAUAGACACCAGCAUUUCAGCUGUGCCUGACUUGAAUGGUCACAGAGGACUUGAUACUUUGUGCCUUUUCUUUGCUCUGAAAACCUUGGACCACUUGGUGCCUCUGUUCUGUUUCAUGCCUUGUGUCCUACACAGAGUUACAUUAUCAAGUAAACAUCCUCCAAGUUCUGUUGGUGACAUUGUCCACAGAUGAUGCCCAAGCUUUUAUAUUUGUUAGAAAGCCUUCUAUUCACAAGGCAGAUGACUCGUGAGUCACAUGUACUCAGAUGACUUCUUGUUAACCAAUCACCUAAUGACAGAAGGAACCAAUCACUGGGAGGGAAGAAUGAGCCUCACUCUACACCCAGAAUGCCAACUACAUUUUCAUCCAGUCCUCAAAAAAUAUCAUGCGCACCCAGAUUCUCCUGGUCAGACCAACACUGUGGAAACCCACUGGAUGCAUUCAGAGGGAUCACUGAUAAUGAAGAAUGAGAUGCCGUCAUCCAUCUGUAGGAAGAUGCUGCGUGUGCCAUAGAACCCAAAAGUCAUCUAUUGCAAGAGAGAAUCGAUUCUCCCAAGUAAACGGGGCCCUAUUAGUUUAAAAACUAAUGCAGCACAGAGAGAAAUCAGGUUCCUCAGACAAUGUUGAUUCUGUUUCCUUUUGAACCAUUAACAGCCUCACUUAAAGCCAUGUAUUGAAAGCUGCGACUUAACGUUAACCACAGUUUCUAAUGCAUUAAACAAAUGGCAAGGAUGACUGUAGGUCAUAGCCCCCUCCCUUCACACAUUAUACGCAAAUGCUUAUCUACUGGGUAUUUAAAGGAGAAAAGUUACAUCUAAACUCACUCCAUAAUGUAUGCUUUCAGCGUGGGAUGCUAAGCAAGUUCUGAUUUUGCGAGCUCAGAGUCACGCUAAAUGCCGGGAAUACAGGUUUCUUCUCAGAAAGGGCGGGCGGCUUUGGCUAAUGUCCUGGGGGAUGUCUUCAAAAUGCAAAGUGUGUGUCUGACCAUGGCCAUGGCAGUCUCAAGUUCCUUUGCCAAGGACUUUGGGGAAAUUCUUCCUCAGGAAACUCACAUAGCGGGAAGAGCAAGAGAGUCACAAAUAGUGCUUAAACCUGGGGUCUAUACCUUUUAACUCUUCAAACAGACAACAGCAGUAAAAAGAGCUCUGCUGCCAGUCUUCAGAGUCUUAACUGAGUUGGAGGCGAACUAUUGUGAAGUAUAAUGUAGUUAGUGACUCUGAAGUUAGUCCACAGAAAGCCAUUCUUUUUAAAUGGACCUACACAACAAUUGCCCCGCACACAAACUGCACAUGCAAUAUUCAAAGCCACUGCUAGGUGCGUUGCUGAGUGCAGAGAGCUGUGCUCCCAGAACCAUCAAGUCAACACGCCAGCUGCUCAGCAUUAUUUACAAUAUAUUGGCUUCACCACUGACCUAAAGAGCUGAAGAAAAUAACAGGCCAUAUUUUCAGCUUGGUAAAAGCCUGCAGUGGGGAGCCCUUUCACAACAAUUACAAGCAUUUGCUCGGAAUGCAUUUGCUGAUUUAACAAACUGGAGAGGACAAAUGUUUAACAUGCUGUCGUGAGGCUGUUCAGUCGCUUUUCUUGGUAUCCGUUGAUCUGAGAUAAUGUGUUCUUGCCCAAUCAUGCUACAAAGAAGCAGCGGAAAUAAAUAAAUAAAUAGAUGUAAUGCGAUGCGUUCCCACAAUAGCUGAGCUGCUGACGGCCCCUGACAGAUGGAAAGAAAAAAAAAAAAAAGUCAAUAUGAUGUCUGAGACAGCCCAGGCUCGGCACUGCAGAAUAAAUUACAUGAUUCGCCGAAUGCUUGGGCCUCGCUCAGACAUUCAAAAAAAAAAAAAAUUGGAAAGAUAAAAGCUUGCAUUGGCUUCAGAUGAUAUUUACUGCUUGAUGGAUUUACUAGCAGCACCAGUACAGUCGUACUGUAUUGAAUUAUUGGCCUCUAUUUAGCUGUGUGUCUGUCGGCGCUCGAGUGUCCAUUUAAGCAUAAGUGAGCUGGAGACCUGCCAAGCCCCUUUGAGGCUCCGGGUGCAGAGAAAGACGCAGGCUAAUGGCCACCAGCUUGAAUAACAGGGAGUGUAAGGACAUUGGGGGAGGCAACAAAGCCCAGCUACAAAGUACUUGCUUAUCAAUAUUAAUGCCAAAAUAAAUAUUAAUGGAGGCUGCCCGGCA
This 2735-nucleotide long non-coding RNA is filed under the name Mus musculus (house mouse). Its description in RNAcentral is "Redrum, erythroid developmental long intergenic non- protein coding transcript". The record is from RNAcentral. Lineage: Eukaryota; Metazoa; Chordata; Mammalia; Rodentia; Muridae.